Molecule: long non-coding RNA, 1069 nt
Organism: Papaver somniferum (opium poppy)
Lineage: Eukaryota; Viridiplantae; Streptophyta; Magnoliopsida; Ranunculales; Papaveraceae
Exons: 4
Source: RefSeq, a predicted model, not a curated record
CAAUCCAAAUCUGAUUUUCUUAAAGACAAAAUACCCAUCAUGGGUAUGUACAAGUUUUACCGGAUUAAUCCAUCUUCAGUUUCUCUUUUCCAUUGUCGAGACAACUCUCAAAGGAAGAAAAAUAAAUCCCAAAACCUAAAAUGAGAAUUCAAUACCGAAAAUAUAGAUAUGAGAAUCAAAUAAACACAUCAAGCAAGUAGUAGGUUCAGUUGAAAUCAAAUUGAAUAACCUAAAUCAUCGUCAGCAGUAUUAGUUCAUGAAGAACAAUUCAGAAAUGAAAGAAAAGGUUGAGGAGAAUCGAUGCAGAAAACCAAAUUUAAGAUUUCAUCAGCUAUUGGAAGAUUCGUAUACACAGGAUCAGUUGACGUGACAUUAGACAUGGCGCAAGAUCUCCUCGGAGCUGCAGAUCAGUAUCUUCUGGCCGGGCUUAAGCGUCUUUGUGAAUAUGCAAUUGCACAGGAUGUAACUUUGGAAAUGUCUCAACCUUGUACGAGCUAUCGGAGAACUUCCAUGUAAUGUCAUUGAGGGACAUAUGCAUCCUUUUCAUUCUGGAGCACUUCGAAAAAAUUGAGUGAGAGGCCAGGGCAUGCUCAUCUCAUCCAAUGUAUAAUCCCAGAGAUCCGCGACUACUUUACUAAAGCACUAGCUUACUCAGAUUCUACUGAAUUCCUGAAACGUCAAUUCUAGUGUAGUAUGUUUCAGAGAAUGCAUGUAUGCUAUUCCUUUUUUUUUUUUUUUUUACAAUGACAUUAUAUGGUAUCUAAUUAUUUUUAUCGUUUGUAUACCGGGAAAACUUGAUUGCUACAGUUACACUAUUGUGGAUGUAAACACCACCUGGAGUGGAGCAAGUCGUGGAUCAUAAGGGAAUACGUCCCCGUAUGACCUCUAUUGGUGUUUGCAAACCCGCCCUUCCUUAUCAUCGAUACGUAUACAUGUGAGCCAAUAGAUGUAAAGAUGUUGGUAGUAAUGUAAUGUCUGAUUCUUGUCUGCUAUUGAGCAUUUAUUUCAUUAUCAGUAUUCGGAUUUUGGGUACAUCUUGUAUGAGAUCAAACAAUUACAGGAAAGAAAA